GCUAUACAUGCAGUCGAGCGCAGGAAAUCGACGGAACCCUUCGGGGGGAAGUCGACGGAAUGAGCGGCGGACGGGUGAGUAACACGUAAAGAACCUGCCCUCAGGUCUGGGAUAACCACGAGAAAUCGGGGCUAAUACCGGAUGGGUCAUCGGACCGCAUGGUCCGAGGAUGAAAGGCGCUUCGGCGUCGCCUGGGGAUGGCUUUGCGGUGCAUUAGCUAGUUGGUGGGGUAAUGGCCCACCAAGGCGACGAUGCAUAGCCGACCUGAGAGGGUGAUCGGCCACACUGGGACUGAGACACGGCCCAGACUCCUACGGGAGGCAGCAGUAGGGAAUCUUCCACAAUGGACGAAAGUCUGAUGGAGCAACGCCGCGUGAACGAUGAAGGCCUUCGGGUCGUAAAGUUCUGUUGUAAGGGAAGAACAAGUGCCGCAGGCAAUGGCGGCACCUUGACGGUACCUUGCGAGAAAGCCACGGCUAACUACGUGCCAGCAGCCGCGGUAAUACGUAGGUGGCAAGCGUUGUCCGGAAUUAUUGGGCGUAAAGCGCGCGCAGGCGGCCUCUUAAGUCUGAUGUGAAAGCCCCCGGCUCAACCGGGGAGGGCCAUUGGAAACUGGGAGGCUUGAGUAUAGGAGAGAAGAGUGGAAUUCCACGUGUAGCGGUGAAAUGCGUAGAGAUGUGGAGGAACACC
Molecule: ribosomal RNA, 690 nt
Filed under: Exiguobacterium mexicanum
Lineage: Bacteria; Bacillati; Bacillota; Bacilli; Caryophanales
Description: bacterial SSU rRNA
Rfam family: Bacterial small subunit ribosomal RNA
Source: RNAcentral